Molecule: ribosomal RNA, 1316 nt
Filed under: Dicyathifer mannii
Lineage: Eukaryota; Metazoa; Mollusca; Bivalvia; Myida; Teredinidae
Description: 16S ribosomal RNA
Rfam family: Bacterial large subunit ribosomal RNA (bases 926-1316)
Source: RNAcentral
GCGUUUGCCUGGUUUUUAUUGUCUUUGUUUUUUAUCACUUGGAAAGAAAUUUUUAUGAGAUCAUUCUCUUUGGUUGUAUUGAAAAAAACUUUAAAAUUUUUUUGUUUCAUGUAUGUUAGGUGUUUUUAUUUUAUAGAAAAACUAGGGUUUUGUACUUUUUGUAUCAUGGGGUAUAUAGAGGUUUGUUAAAUUAUUGUUCCUGAAAGGCUCUGAUCUAUCUUCUUUGUUUUGUGUGGUGUUGCAGAACCAUAAGAAAAAAGUUGAUGGAUAGUGAUAUGCUUGUCGCAGGGUCUGAUAGCUGGUUAGGUGGGAAAUGCGCAUAAGUGCAGUGUAAUGUGUAAUAAGCGUAGAUUUCGUUGUAAUGCGUUUGUUGCUUUAUAGUGAGGUUAUAGGGGUAAGCUCUAGUAACGUUUAGGCGUAUAGUUUUUGUUAAGUAGAGUUAGUAUUGCUGGAUAAUUGUCCUAGCUCUUUGUAGAGUAAUUUGUGAUGAUGGUCGUUCAUUUUAUAAUCUUAUGUUAAAUUGUUGUUCAAAGUUACUUUCGAAUUUGGUUGGUUACAGUACCAUUUGAGGUCCUAAAAUUUUCUGGGUUCACAGUAGUAUGCCAUGCGUAGGUGUUUAGUUAUGGUUGUAGUUUAGUGGGGUUGAGUUGUGUCUGUUCGUAUGUUUUGUUUUAAUUGUUUUGAUAUUAUUUUAAAUUUUCUAAAUAGGCUUAAGGAACUCGGCAAAUUUUUUCUUCGCCUGUUUAUUAAAAACAUCGCUCUUAGUUUAAAAUUAAUAAGAGUCGUGCCUGCCCGGUGGGUUUACUUAAACGGUUGCUAUUAUAGUAGUACUAAGGUAGCGCAAUAAAUUGUCCUUUAAUUGGGGAAGGGAAUGAAUGGCUUGACGUGAGAAAAUCUGUCUCAGGUUUAAAAAUUGAAAUUUACUUUUAGGUGAAAAGGCUUAAAUAGGGUUAUUAGACGAGAAGACCCCGUCGAGCUUGAUGAGGUGGUGAAGUUAAUGUUUGCUGCUGAAGUUUUGUUGGGGUGACAGGAAGCAGAAUUAACGCAUCCUAUUUUACUUAUUUCGAUCUUAUAUUAUGGAGAAAAAGAAAAAGCUACCGCGGGGAUAACAGCGUAAUGUUUCUGGAAAGAUCAAAUUGAAAGAAAGUGUUGCGACCUCGAUGUUGAAUUAAGGUGUCAUCCUGGCGCAGUAGUUAGGAUAGUAGGUCUGUUCGCCCUUUAAAACCUUACAUGAUUUGAGUUUAGACCGGCGUGAGCUAGGUCGGAUUCUAUCUUUAUUUAAAGCUUUCUUUGUACGAAAGGAUCGGAGAGUUGGC